GCUGGGCAUGGUGGCGCACGCCUGUAAUCCCAGCUGCUCAGGAGGCUGAUGCAGGAGAAUUGCUUGAACCCAGGAGGCAGAGGUUGUAGUGAGCCAAGAUCGCGCCACUGCACUCCAGCCUGGGUGACAAAGUGAGACUCUGUCUCAA
RNAcentral lists this small RNA (148 nucleotides) under Macaca fascicularis (crab-eating macaque). RNAcentral's name for it is "Metazoan signal recognition particle RNA (ENSMFAG00000064421.1)". The record is from Rfam by way of RNAcentral. Lineage: Eukaryota; Metazoa; Chordata; Mammalia; Primates; Cercopithecidae.